Molecule: non-coding RNA, 25 nt
Filed under: Mus musculus (house mouse)
Lineage: Eukaryota; Metazoa; Chordata; Mammalia; Rodentia; Muridae
Source: RNAcentral
UGAGUAGCCAGGAAGAGCUGAUGAC